GUCAGCAUGGCGUAGUGGUUUGACCAUUGGACUAUGACUCUGGAGACCAGGGUUCAAAUGCCUGGGCUCACC
This 72-nucleotide transfer RNA is filed under the name Phrynosoma platyrhinos (Desert horned lizard). Its description in RNAcentral is "tRNA-OTHER". Lineage: Eukaryota; Metazoa; Chordata; Lepidosauria; Squamata; Phrynosomatidae. The record is from RNAcentral.